GAUCUAGUCGUUACAGAUCUAGUCAGAUAGCGGAUCUAGUCAGACAGUGGAUCUAGUCGUUACAGAUCUAGUCAGAUAGCAUAUCUAGUCAGACAGUGGAUCUAGACGUUACAGAUCUAGUCAGAUAGCAUAUCUAGUCAGACAGUGGAUCUAGACGUUACAGAUCUAGUCAGAUAGCGGAUCUAGUCAGACAGUGGAUCUAGACGUUACAGAUCUAGUCAGACAGUGGAUCUAGACGUUACAGAUCUAGUCAGAUAGCGGAUCUAGUCAGACAGUGGAUCUAGACGUUACAGAUCUAGUCAGAUAGCGGAUCUAGUCAGACAGUGGAUCUAGACAUAGCGGAUCUAGUCAGACAGUGGAUCUAGACGUUACAGAUCUAGUCAGACAGCGGAUCUAGACGUUACAGAUCUAAGAAACAGCUAGCAGCUGGAAGACAACCCUUGUUAUCAGAAGUGGAAGAUGAACUGCAGAUCAGAAGGAGAAGUGGAACAGAGAUUGUGAACAAAGAGAAAAGAGGUAUACUGUUCCAACACAGUGCUUUGUUGGAAAAUUAAAGGGUUAAAACAAACAGAAAUCAAUGAAAUCAAAACCCUGUGCUGACAUCUAAUCGUUAGAAAAUUUGGCAGCAUAAAUUGAUGAUGAUGAUGGCGUGAUGAUGAAGGUGGUGGUGGAAGUGUCCAGUACAUUCCCACCAUUGGAUCUGGACCCCACCAACAGAACACGGACCACAAGCAGAGCAACAGACACCCAUGAUUGGUCAAUCACUCUGGAGUUCCAAUGACAAUGGAAAAAUUGAAAUGAUGUAAAAUAAAAAAAUAAUAAAAAUGAAAUAAAUAAAACAAACAAAAGAAAACAACGUAAUAAAUUGACAUAUUGGCAAAUCAAAGAAGAAGAAAAGAUUUGUGUAAAAAAAAAAGCUUUUAUAAAACACUACAGAAUGCAGCAAGUGUCCGUUGCUCUUUAGUUUUGUUGUUGCAGACAGAUGUGAGGUUGCCAUGGUGACCAUAAGAAGCCCGUGUAAG
This is a long non-coding RNA of Oncorhynchus tshawytscha (Chinook salmon), 1022 nucleotides long. The record is from Ensembl. Lineage: Eukaryota; Metazoa; Chordata; Actinopteri; Salmoniformes; Salmonidae.